This is a non-coding RNA of Micropterus dolomieu (smallmouth bass), 377 nucleotides long. The record is from the annotation of a RefSeq genome assembly. NCBI's taxonomy places the organism in Eukaryota, Metazoa, Chordata, Actinopteri, Centrarchiformes, Centrarchidae.
AAAACAUGACUUUGGUCUCCGUCCUCAUCUGGACUCUCCUCUGCUGCUGCUUCACAGAGUCCAGAGGCCAGAUCACAGUGACUCAGCCUGGAGCAGUGAGCUCUGCUCUGGGAGCCUCCGUCUCCAUCAGCUGUAGGGUCAGUCAGGAGGUUGAUGGAGAUUUAUUAGCCUGGUACCAAAAAAGAGAUGGAGAAGCUCCUAAACUGCUCAUUUACUUUGCUAGCACUCGAGAAUCAGGGAUUCCAGGUCGUUUUUCAGGCAGUGGAUCAGAGACUGACUUCACUCUGACCAUCAGUGGAGUUCAGGCUGAAGAUGCAGCAGUUUACUACUGUCAGAGUUAUCAUGAUAUCAACAGUCAGGAUGUGUUCACACAGUGA